AAGGCCUCCUUAGUUGGGGAACCUAAACUAUACAUUUAUCGAUAUUAUAAUGAUAUAUGUAAGUAAAAGUAGUAAAAGCAUUUUUCAAAGUGUGGUGGUUGUUUAAGACAGAUGUAUAUUGGGACAUAUCCGCGCUAUGGUCUUGGUUUAACGUGUCAGAAUGUUCAUAAUAGCUAUUUGAAUCCAUAUUGUCAUUUGAAUUUUUGGUAGCAACACGACUUUCGCUUUCCUCCAAUAAAAUUUUGUUACAAUAUUCCGGAUCAAUUUCCGAUACACAGUUUUUUCGCAAAUUAAGACAUGUUCACUUGCGAUCACUGACGCGUACAAUUCGGUUAGUUUUUUUUCGAUUUUCUUAAUGUAUAACGCUGUUCUGUGAAAUGAAAAAAUAUUAGUGCUCAGUAUAGGAAACGUUUUGAAGCAGUUCUUCUAACGAAGCAUCGUAAUAGUCCCAAAUGGACUAUUUAAAUACGAGUUGUACAUUUGUGAAGAAGAUUAGGAAACGGAGUUGUCAGACCAGGAAGAGAGAGGAAUCACGGGAAAUCUAAAAUAAGGACAAAGCCAGCGGGGUACGCAGAAACAAAUUUCACGUGAGCUUUUCUGUACAAAUUUUGCAUCAUGUUAAAAAGGGAUGAGAAAACUAAAAAUAGUUAGUACUGCCAACGUGUAGUUUUUGUCGUUUAAUAUAACAUACGUCUAUUACUAGUAUUCAUUAAAUCAUAUUGACUUUUCCACUGAUCAAAAUUUUUAGCAAAUGCAAAAAGUGUUUAUUAUCGUGGGGCUGUGAUAUUGGUCAUCAGAGUCACCCCAAUCCAAUGGAAAAUGUUUGGACUUUAAUGAACACCAAAAUAUGAAGAUUUAACGUCUGCAAAAUAUUUCAUUCUCUACUCUAACAUACCCGGAGAUCGCUUCCCGUGGAAUAUGCGGAAUAUUUACAUGAACCUUGUCAUCAAAGAUGACAGGUUAUAAUGAGCCACGCGGGAGAUUGAAGCAAGUAUUGAAUAAAUUCCAGAUAUAACAAAAUAAGGUAUUUUCUAAAGUUACAAAAUAUUUACCAAUAAACGCUACCUACACUUAGAAAACAAAAACGUUACAUUUUGAAUAGCACUGUAUGGGCAAAAUUUAGCAUAACAGCAUAUUUUUUUAAGUAGUCUGUUUUUCGUUUGUAUUUUGUAUUUAUUCGCCAUGAUUUACUUCUAAUCACUUACUCAUUUUUAGCACCUUUAAGAGCGAAAGGUCAAAGGUUUCAUAGCAAAUAGCUAUAUGGGCAUUUUUUAAUUGUUCUCUGAGUGCAGCAGCGUCAACACACGUUCAUCAAAAUCGACAGCUAUUAAAAACAACAACGUAAGAAAUAAAAUGAAAUGAACAAUUUCUUUUUUAGCUUAGAAUGCCGCUUGCAACGGAAAUCUCAAUUGAAGAACAGUUAAAAAUAAAAACCGUGUGUGAUACAAUCAUCGAUAUACAAUCAUUAAAUUUAUAAAAGAUCCAGAAGAAUAAGCGAAAGCACAAGACGGCACAAUAGAGAACUUGCCACUGAGGCUAUGACGAGUUGCUCAAAAUUAAAGUUCAGCUAGAACUAUCAGUGAGAUUUGCCACAAGUGCAACAAUGGUGGGGGAUCCCUGAUGGUAUGGGCUGAAUUUGAGAGAAAUACAAGAUAUGCUUUGUACCUACUCGUAUGAAUGCUGAAAAUAUGUAGAGCUGUUGGAAAGCGAGGUUAUCCCAUUCGAUGAAGGGUUCCAUGGCGAAUACUGGAUAUUUCAAUAAGACAAAGCACCAUUACAUGUAGUAAAGUACACCAAGGCAAAAGCAUAGCAUGCUGUUACUGUAGUGGCCCGCUCUAAAUCUGGAUCUUAAUUCAGUAGAGGAUCUAUGGGGCAUUCCAAUUCGAAUCUCUAAAACAGCUUUAAGAAACAAUUGUAAAAGAAUGGGCCAAUGUAGCGACGAUUGCAAAUGGUUCAAACUCACAAAGGCCUUACUUAAUAUAGCCGAAAAUCAUUUAUAUUUUUUUUUUAUAUUACUAUUGCUUUUUUUAAUAUUUUCUAUUCUUUCAUCUACUGCUUACAAACAUCUUACUUGAAGACACAUUCGACUUUCUUCAGAAUUUUGAACACAAUUACAUAAUACAUACACACACUUUUGGAAUAUAUUUUUAAACUAAUUUCGAAUUUUCUAAACAAACAAAACGCUAUCUUGUUUCUUGAUCUUAUUGAAUGAGUGCGAAUGAGAAAAAAUAUUUGUCAUUAGUGCAAAAUGUUGUGAUUUUAUAAAUUUGUAUUUAACUAUUUUUUUUUUCACUUUUCCAGCAUAACAAUCAACGUACAUAUAUUCCUUACAUUGGAUGUCCUCUCAAUUGUAACAUUUUUUUUAUUUCCAGGCAUAUAAACAUUUCAUUGAAAAUGUGAUGGACUUCUUUAUACUCUCUGCAUGACUGUAUUGUAUACGCAUAUAGGACCGUGAAUUAGCAUCUACGCGGUCAAUGACUUAAGCGCCUAGAAACUCCAAUGAUUGAUCAAAUUCCAACAGAAUAAAGCUUUUAUAAUUUCAUGCUAUAAGUUGUGUAUUAUACAUUUUGUUUGUUAUUUAAAAGGAAUCCAUUCUUUCCUGCACCAAAAAUGAGACCCGGUUAUAAAAAUUAAUUGCGACAACUUAUUUAAUUUUUAAACGAAUUUCAUUUAUAUUUUGUUUUUUGCUAUACAUAGCGCAUAAAAGCUGAUGAAUUAGUUUAGGUUGAAUUUAAGUUUAUAACUUAUAGUAAAAGUAUGUAAAAUAAUUUAUAUGUAAUAAAUAAAUACUUAUUAAAAAUUAAAAAUUUUGUUUAAAAUUUUAAAAAUAUUUUAAAUUCAAGGCUGACCUAGUGCAUGAUUGUGUUAUAUAAGGUUAUGUCGAUAGCGCAAAAACUACAAUUUUUUAAACGUGUUUUAAAUCAAAUGUUUUUAAGAUUUCAACCAGUAUGCGUUUUUCUCAUAAGAAAGCACGCUCCGAAGUAACACAACCAACAAUAUAAUUGAAUCAUGGCCUAGUGUUUCACUAGUUUUUUACCACUUUUGGCUGGCAUGGAUGCCAUAAAUUAUAAAGAAAGAGAUAUAACAUCAAUAUGAUCUAUAUCUAGGAUAGGUAUGUCCAGGAUAAUUGAGAAAUUCUUUCAAUGUAUUGCACUUCUGGUAGCCGAGAUUUUCUGGGUUAUAAUCGAAUUGUAUUCUAGUUAAUUAUUAAAAAUGAACGAGAAUAUGUGUUGAGAUAUCUGAUUAGAACAGAAUAAUUUCGCUCAUUACCUUUACAUCUCUCACGUAAAUUAUACCAAAAAAAAUUUAUGUGUAUGUUGUGAACUGAAAUUUUAUAACGCUAUCUAUCGACUUAUAGUGAAAUUAGCACAGAUUGUCCUUCGUUCAUGUACGUGUGUCUAAAUUAAAAUAUUUAUAGUCUGUCAAAAUUUUUUUUGUUUCCCAUAUACAGUGUCACACAAAAUAAUAGUAAGAAGAAAAGUCCUGUUAAAUACAAUAGUCUAUUAAGAAAAUUUCUUUCACAACCGAUUCCCACAAUUACCAAAAAAUAAUUUUAAAAUUUUUAAUCCCACACACCGGAUUAAAAUAUACAAAAAAUUUUAGUCCCAAAACACUGGGUUAAAAAUGUAUUUUUUCUUUGUAUAUUUAAUUUUUAAUCCCAACUACCGGACUUAAAAAUUAAAAAUAAAAAUUUUCACCUUAAGCAUAUAUCUGAUUAAGAAUUAAAACAGAAUUUGUUUUAGAAUGAACAUUCCAAAAAUAAUAUUUUCAAUUAUCAAUUUAUAAUACCAACAUCGGGAUUAAACAAUUUAAAUCUAAUUUUAAAUCUAAUUUUUAAAUUGUUGAAUUAAAAAAUUCGCAACCCGAUCACAACCAAUGAAAAAUUCAAGAAAUAAGUGUUAUACAUUAUUGGCCCAUUCAGUAAGUUCACCUGUUACUUAAAAUAAAACAAAAGCAUUUUAUUGGAGAAUAAUUUACUCUUAAA
Molecule: non-coding RNA, 3985 nt
Organism: Bactrocera oleae (olive fruit fly)
Lineage: Eukaryota; Metazoa; Arthropoda; Insecta; Diptera; Tephritidae
Source: RefSeq, a predicted model, not a curated record